UUUUUUUUUUUUUUUUCAGUGAUUUACCUUGCCUUGUUGCAGCAUCAGAGGCUCCAUACAAGCUCAGGGGACCAGGAAAUGGGGAAGAAACAGGGAAGCUGACAUCCUGAAAAGCACUGUCAAAAGCUGAAAACAAACCUAGGGAAGUACACAAAGAGCUGAAAAGGGACCCUAAAUGAUAAUCUCAAAUCUUCCAGUAAAAGUGAUGCUACAAGGCUGUGACCUGAGAUGAUGGAACAGGAUGGAAAGCCCUCCAAACCUCAGUCUCCUAGAGUUUAGACUACAUUGCUUCUGCCAGGUUUAUCUCAACACUAGUCACAUAGUCAGUAUCACAUCAGGAAAAAAAAAAAAAAAAAGGCUCUUACUGAUUCUA
This is a long non-coding RNA of Cygnus olor (mute swan), 373 nucleotides long. RefSeq lists it as uncharacterized. The transcript has 2 exons. The record is from RefSeq and is a predicted model, not a curated record. Lineage: Eukaryota; Metazoa; Chordata; Aves; Anseriformes; Anatidae.